GACGAACGCUGGCGGCGUGCUUAACACAUGCAAGUCGAACGGAAAGGCCCUGCUUUUGUGGUGUGCUCGAGUGGCGAACGGGUGAGUAACACGUGAGUAACCUGCCCUUGACUUUGGGAUAACUUCAGGAAACUGGGGCUAAUACCGGAUAGGAGCUCCUGCUGCAUGGUGGGGGUUGGAAAGUUUCGGCGGUUGGGGAUGGACUCGCGGCUUAUCAGCUUGUUGGUGGGGUAGUGGCUUACCAAGGCUUUGACGGGUAGCCGGCCUGAGAGGGUGACCGGCCACAUUGGGACUGAGAUACGGCCCAGACUCCUACGGGAGGCAGCAGGGGGGAAUAUUGCACAAUGGGCGGAAGCCUGAUGCAGCAACGCCGCGUGCGGGAUGACGGCCUUCGGGUUGUAAACCGCUUUCGCCUGUGACGAAGCGUGAGUGACGGUAAUGGGUAAAGAAGCACCGGCUAACUACGUG
RNAcentral lists this ribosomal RNA (468 nucleotides) under uncultured bacterium. RNAcentral's name for it is "partial 16S ribosomal RNA". It matches the Rfam family "Bacterial small subunit ribosomal RNA", at positions 28 to 507 of the family's 1533-position model. The record is from RNAcentral.